GAAGGCCCGGGGCAGAGAGGCCCGCCCACAGUGGGCAGCAGUUUGCAUUUGAACUUGCAGUUCAGGAGCGGAGGAUCCUGCCCUAGCUCGGGUUUAAGAGGAGAUGGCAGUGACUGCCAGGGACCGCGGGCAAAGUCUCCUGCCACAGGACCGGCCCAUGCCAGGGGUGCCCUGGGGAGCCUCCCACUCCCAGCCGACAAGAAACCACCGCAUGCCUCGGUGCCCGGAGCCCGGAGCCGGUCUAGGAAACUCAGCUCCUAGGAGAGUCGCCGUCAGAGCCAGGAGGAUGUUUCCCAAAUGGGAAGAGGACCGAGAGAUGCAGUGAAGGAGGAGGGUGUGCAAGAGAAGACC
Long non-coding RNA from Heterocephalus glaber (naked mole-rat), 351 nucleotides. RefSeq lists it as uncharacterized. Lineage: Eukaryota; Metazoa; Chordata; Mammalia; Rodentia; Bathyergidae. The record is from RefSeq and is a predicted model, not a curated record.